Molecule: transfer RNA, 65 nt
Filed under: Dipodomys ordii (Ord's kangaroo rat)
Lineage: Eukaryota; Metazoa; Chordata; Mammalia; Rodentia; Heteromyidae
Rfam family: tRNA
About the family: Transfer RNA (tRNA) molecules are approximately 80 nucleotides in length.
Source: Rfam by way of RNAcentral
GGUAACUCAGUGGUAGAGUGCUUGCUUCGCAUGCAUGAGGCCCUGGGUUCGAUUCCUCGGUACCA